ACAGAUCGUUCAGAGUUUGAUCCUGGCUCAGGAUAAACGCUGACAGAAUGCUUAACACAUGACAAGUCGAUGAGUUGGGAGACUAACCUAGCUUAGAAGAAGUCAUGGCGGACGGGUGAGUAACGUGUAAAGAACUUGCCCUCUAGACUGGGAUAACAGAUAGAAAUGUCUGAUAAUACCGGAUAUUAUUGUUACAUGGCAUCAUGUAGGAAUGAAAGGAUAAGAUUGCUAGAGGAGAGCUUUGCAUCCUAUUAGCUAGUUGGUAAGGUAGAGGCUUACCAAGGCGAUGAUAGGUAGCCGGCCUGAGAGGGUGGACGGCCACAAGGGGACUGAGAUACGGCCCUU
This 345-nucleotide ribosomal RNA is filed under the name uncultured bacterium. Its description in RNAcentral is "bacterial SSU rRNA". It matches the Rfam family "Bacterial small subunit ribosomal RNA", at positions 1 to 334 of the family's 1533-position model. The record is from RNAcentral.